AAAUGUAGGCAAUGUAGAUCGAUAAUAUAAAGUAGAGAAUCGGUGUUUUUUUUUAUGUUGUAAUGUUACACUACUGUCUCAAGUUAGGGUGAAGGUUGGUACCUGUGUAUAGGGUUAAACACACAGCAUUUUUAUGCACUUGUCCAUGUUGGGAGCCUGUUGUUCAGUGGUGGUCUUUUAUUGGUGUGAUUCAUAGGUUUUUCUUGUUUUUUCUUUUUUACAAUAUAGAUCAGACUGCUUGUUUUCCUGUUUGAAUUGUUUUACACUAGUCAUUUAGGGGCCCUUUUAAGCUUUUAGUUCAAUGUGAGUAAAGGCUAUGUGUUGAAGGCUGUACUUGACCUUAAAUUGUUAACUUUUUAUACAUUGUGAGAUGGAUGGAGAGUUGUCUCAUUGGCCAACAUAAUUUUGGCUUACCAAUUAUUUACAGGAAAAAAAUAAUGUACAUUUAAGUUGUCUAAAGUAUCUCUAACUUGAUCUUCCAUUAUAUCAAUAAAUCAAUCAAGUUAGAAACUAGGUAAUUUGUUUAUCAGGAGGUUCUAAGAAGGCUUUACACAAAAAAGAAUCUAAACUCUACGGGCUCACAAACAUGUAUUAACCCUGACACCUUCUAUAUGUGGUUGUCCCAAAUGAUGAGCCUGUAGUAAAGUAUUGUUAUUUCAUGUGUCAUGUUUCAUUUCCCCAAAUUAAUGUUGUAAACUAGGUUAUUUGUUUUCUUGUUUG
RNAcentral lists this long non-coding RNA (720 nucleotides) under Mytilus galloprovincialis (Mediterranean mussel). The record is from RNAcentral. Lineage: Eukaryota; Metazoa; Mollusca; Bivalvia; Mytilida; Mytilidae.